RNAcentral lists this ribosomal RNA (478 nucleotides) under uncultured bacterium. Its description in RNAcentral is "partial 16S ribosomal RNA". It matches the Rfam family "Bacterial small subunit ribosomal RNA", at positions 28 to 507 of the family's 1533-position model. The record is from RNAcentral.
GAUGAACGCUGGCGGCGUGCUUAACACAUGCAAGUCGAACGGGAAACCUUUUAUUGAAGCUUCGGCAGAUUUCGCUGGUUUCUAGUGGCGGACGGGUGAGUAACGCGUGGGUAACCUGCCUUAUACAGGGGGAUAACAACCAGAAAUGGUUGCUAAUACCGCAUAAGCGCACAGGACCGCAUGGUCCGGUGUGAAAAACUCCGGUGGUAUAAGAUGGACCCGCGUUGGAUUAGCUAGUUGGCAGGGUAACGGCCUACCAAGGCGACGAUCCAUAGCCGGCCUGAGAGGGUGAACGGCCACAUUGGGACUGAGACACGGCCGAGACUCCUACGGGAGGCAGCAGUGGGGAAUAUUGCACAAUGGGGGAAACCCUGAUGCAGCGACGCCGCGUGAAGGAAGAAGUAUCUCGGUAUGUAAACUUCUAUCAGCAGGGAAGAUAGUGACGGUACCUGACUAAGAAGCCCCGGCUAACUACGUG